Mauremys reevesii (Reeves's turtle) is the source of this 315-nucleotide long non-coding RNA. RefSeq lists it as uncharacterized. NCBI's taxonomy places the organism in Eukaryota, Metazoa, Chordata, Testudines, Geoemydidae. The record is from RefSeq and is a predicted model, not a curated record. The transcript has 3 exons.
UAGUAGGUAGCAGUUUUAAAAAAACAAAAAAACCUCCUGUUGCAGAUAGGAUGUAAGCAGAAUGCAAACCUGAUUCUGAAAUUAGCCUCCAAGUGCUUCAAUGAAGCAUACAUUAUAGGGGCAUUGAUUUACAAGGUAGGGAAACUGAGGCAGAGAGGAUGAAGUGACUUAUCCUAUGUCACCCAGCAGACGAGUCAGAGAGUCAAGAACAGAACCCAGAGGUCUCCUAAGUGCCAGAUCUAAGCUUUCUUGAUGCUGAGGACCAGCUGCUGUAUCAAAUUCUAUUAGAGGAGCAAACACCAUACCAUAUCUCCC